AUUUUAGAAAAAAAAACAACCAUUUUGUUUUUUUGUGGCUGUGGAGACUAUCUCUUGAAUCCAACUCCCAACAAACACACAACGUUGCCGUAACGUAGCGACCUUCCUACAACGUUGUACCAACCUUGCAAAAAGGUUGAGGAUUCUACGUUGUUGCUAAACGUUGUCACAACGAUGUCAUAAGGUUGCCAUUUAAACAUCACGAGGGCCGCAUACUUUAGGUUGUGCUUAGGUGGCGUGGACAACCACUGUACAACAUUUACUGGUCACAGCUGAAUCAGUUUAAAUUUCAACAAGCCGUCGUCUCAUUCAUCAACGACCGAGGAGACGCUAUUUUCACAUGGAGGAAAUCUUCUAUUGAUAAUUUCUGGGUUUUAAGUAUGUGUAAGUUGCAUAAAACUCUAUUGUUUAACCACUCACUGUUGUUUUCAAAUUCUUUAUGUAACUUGUCUUUCAGAAUUUUUUCAGCUGUUGAAUUCACCUCAGAUCAGUGUUGCUGUAAUUCCUGAUCUAUGGAAAGAAUAAUUGAAUGAGCGAGCAACGCCACAACUACAGGACCUCUUUCUCUUCUCAUAAUUUAACUGCGCUCCCCGGUCUGCUGUAUUCUCCAGUCCAGAGCUUCAUUGCCCAGUGUCUGAAUUUUAAUUUCUAUAUUUAUUUAUAUAUAUAUAUAUAUAUAUAUAUAUAUAUAUAUAUAUAUAUAUAUAUAUAUAUAUAUAUAUAUAUAUAUAUAUAUAUAUAUUUACAUUUUUAAUGAUUUCUUGUUUACUUUUCUUGUUUGUUUACCCUU
This 790-nucleotide long non-coding RNA is filed under the name Danio rerio (zebrafish). RNAcentral's name for it is "lncRNA (ENSDARG00000117694.1)". Lineage: Eukaryota; Metazoa; Chordata; Actinopteri; Cypriniformes; Danionidae. The record is from RNAcentral.